Molecule: non-coding RNA, 46 nt
Organism: Canis lupus familiaris (dog)
Lineage: Eukaryota; Metazoa; Chordata; Mammalia; Carnivora; Canidae
Source: Rfam
CCAAAGGUUCUUUUAAGAGCCACCCACAUUUUCCAAAAGACUGUAG